UAUUUGAAGGGGUGCUUUUACGGCUGAGAGAGGUUUUACCUUAACCCAUAACCUGAUCCGGGUAAUGCCGGCGUAGGAAAAAA
This 83-nucleotide non-coding RNA is filed under the name uncultured Lachnoanaerobaculum sp. The record is from RNAcentral. Lineage: Bacteria; Bacillati; Bacillota; Clostridia; Lachnospirales; Lachnospiraceae.